AUGGAGCAGGGCACUGCCACUCUGGUGUGUAUGGCCAGCGGGGGCUUCCCCUCAGCCUGGAGCCUGGGCUGGAAGGAGGUUUUUGUACGAGCACCUAAUGAGUCUGUAUCACUGUGGUGGACUUUCGGUGGAGGAACCAGACUCAACAUUGACUUGGGUGUGGUGCGACCCACCCUGACCCUCCUCCCCCCCUCCAGUGAAGAGCUGGAGCAGGGCACUGCCACUCUGGUGUGUAUGGCCAGCGGGGGCUUCCCCUCAGCCUGGAGCCUGGGCUGGAAGGUGGGGGGCAGCAUCAGGUCCUCAGGGGUGUCUCACAACCCGAUGGUCCUGGGGGGAACCGGCCACUACAGCUGGAGCAGCACCAUGAGCCUCCCUGCAGAUCAGUGGAGGAAGGCGGGCUCAGUGAGCUGUGAGGCCAGUCUGAACGGACAGAGCCCUGUCGCUCAAACCCUGGACCCUGACCUCUGCUCGGAGUAG
This is a non-coding RNA of Limanda limanda (common dab), 477 nucleotides long. The record is from the annotation of a RefSeq genome assembly. NCBI's taxonomy places the organism in Eukaryota, Metazoa, Chordata, Actinopteri, Pleuronectiformes, Pleuronectidae.